Molecule: ribosomal RNA, 253 nt
Filed under: uncultured bacterium
Lineage: Bacteria
Description: partial 16S ribosomal RNA
Rfam family: Bacterial small subunit ribosomal RNA
Source: RNAcentral
UACGGAGGGUGCAGGCGUUAAUCGGAAUUACUGGGCGUAAAGCGUGCGCAGGCGGUUUCUUAAGUCAGAUGUGAAAGCCCCGGGCUUAACCUGGGAACUGCGUUUGAAACUGGGAGACUUGAGUGUGGCAGAGGGGGGUGGAAUUCCACGUGUAGCAGUGAAAUGCGUAGAUAUGUGGAGGAACACCGAUGGCGAAGGCAGCCCCCUGGGUUAACACUGACGCUCAUGCACGAAAGCGUGGGGAGCAAACAGG